GAAACGACUGCUAAGACUGGAUAGGAGACAAGAAGGCAUCUUUUUGUUUUUAAAAGACCUAGCAAUAGGUAUGCUUAGGGAGGAGCUUGCGUCACAUUAGUUAGUUGGUGGGGUAAAGGCCUACCAAGACUAUGAUGUGUAGCCGGGCUGAGAGGUUGAACGGCCACAUUGGGACUGAGACACGGCCCAAACUCCUACGGGAGGCAGCAGUAGGGAAUUUUCGGCAAUGGAGGAAACUCUGACCGAGCAACGCCGCGUGAACGAUGAAGUAUUUCGGUACGUAAAGUUCUUUUAUUAGGGAAGAAUAAAUGAUGGAAAAAUCAUUCUGACGGUACCUAAUGAAUAAGCCCCGGCUAACUAUGUGCCAGCAGCCGCGGUAAUACAUAGGGGGCAAGCGUUAUCCGGAAUUAUUGGGCGUAAAGGGUGCGUAGGCGGUUAAAUAAGUUUAUGGUCUAAGUGCAAUGCUUAACAUUGUGAUGCUAUAAAAACUGUUUAACUAGAGUAAGAUAGAGGCAAGUGGAAUUCCAUGUGUAGUGGUAAAAUGCGUAAAUAUAUGGAGGAACACCAGUAGCGAAGGCGGCUUGCUGGGUCUUUACUGACGCUGAGGCACGAAAGCGUGGGGAGCAAACAGGAUUAGAUACCCUGGUAGUCCACGCCGUAAACGAUGAGUACUAAAUGUUGGGUAAAACCAGUGUUGAAGUUAACACAUUAAGUACUCCGCCUGAGUAGUACGUACGCAAGUAUGAAACUUAAAGGAAUUGACGGGACUCCGCACAAGCGGUGGAUCAUGUUGUUUAAUUCGAAGGUACCCGAAAAACCUCACCAGGUCUUGACAUGCUUCUGCAAAGCUGUAGAAACACAGUGGAGGUUAUCAGUUGCACAGGUGGUGCAUGGUUGUCGUCAGCUCGUGUCGUGAGAUGUUGGGUUAAGUCCCGCAACGAGCGCAACCCUUAUUGUUAGUUGCCAGCACGUAAUGGUGGGGACUUUAGCAAGACUGCCAGUGAUAAAUUGGAGGAAGGUGGGGACGACGUCAAAUCAUCAUGCCCCUUAUGACCUGGGCUACAAACGUGAUACAAUGGCUGUUACAAAGGGUAGCUGAAACGCAAGUUUUUGGCGAAUCUCAAAAAAACAGUCUCAGUUCGGAUUGAAGUCUGCAACUCGACUUCAUGAAGUUGGAAUCGCUA
This 1184-nucleotide ribosomal RNA is filed under the name Cassava witches'-broom aster yellows phytoplasma. RNAcentral's name for it is "bacterial SSU rRNA". It matches the Rfam family "Bacterial small subunit ribosomal RNA", at positions 153 to 1337 of the family's 1533-position model. Lineage: Bacteria; Bacillati; Mycoplasmatota; Mollicutes; Acholeplasmatales; Acholeplasmataceae. The record is from RNAcentral.